UACGGAGGGAGCUAGCGUUGUUCGGAAAUACUGGGCGUAAAGCGCACGUAGGCGGCGCAGCAAGUCAGGGGUGAAAUCCCGGGGCUCAACCCCGGAACUGCCCUUGAAACUGCAGUGCUAGAAUCUUGGAGAGGCGAGUGGAAUUCCGAGUGUAGAGGUGAAAUUCGUAGAUAUUCGGAAGAACACCAGUGGCGAAGGCGACUACCUGGCCUGUUUCUUGACGCUGAGGCGCGAAAGCUAGGGGAGCAAACGGG
RNAcentral lists this ribosomal RNA (254 nucleotides) under uncultured bacterium. RNAcentral describes it as "partial 16S ribosomal RNA". It matches the Rfam family "Bacterial small subunit ribosomal RNA", at positions 524 to 776 of the family's 1533-position model. The record is from RNAcentral.